UGGGGAAUAUUGCGCAAUGGACGAAAGUCUGACGGAGCAACGCCGCGUGAGUGAAGACGGCCUUCGGGUUGUAAAGCUCUGUGAUCCGGGACGAAAGAGCCUGAGGUGAAUAGCCUAAGGAAGUGACGGUACCGGAAAAGCAAGCCACGGCUAACUACGUGCCAGCAGCCGCGGUAAUACGUAGGUGGCAAGCGUUGUCCGGAAUUAUUGGGCGUAAAGCGCGCGCAGGCGGCUUCCUAAGUCCAUCUUAAAAGUGCGGGGCUUAACCCCGUGAUGGGAUGGAAACUGGGAAGCUGGAGUAUCGGAGAGGAAAGUGGAAUUCCUAGUGUAGCGGUGAAAUGCGUAGAGAUUAGGAAGAACACCGGUGGCGAAGGCGACUUUCUGGACGAAAACUGACGCUGAGGCGCGAAAGCGUGGGGAGCAAACAGG
RNAcentral lists this ribosomal RNA (429 nucleotides) under Fusobacteriota bacterium. Its description in RNAcentral is "Fusobacteria bacterium partial 16S ribosomal RNA". It matches the Rfam family "Bacterial small subunit ribosomal RNA", at positions 355 to 776 of the family's 1533-position model. Lineage: Bacteria; Fusobacteriati; Fusobacteriota. The record is from RNAcentral.